GUGUCAGCAGCCGCGGUAAUACGUAGGGGGCGAGCGUUGUCCGGAGUUACUGGGCGUAAAGGGCAUGCAGGCGGUCUGGCGCGUUUUGUGUGACAGCGGGGGGCUCAACUCCCCGAGCAUGCGAAAGACGGUUGGACUUGAGGGCUCGAGAGGGACACGGAAUUCCGGGUGGAGUGGUGAAAUGCGUAGAGAUCCGGAGGAACACCGAAGGCGAAGGCAGUGUCCUGGCGAGUGACUGACGCUGAGGUGCGAAAGCCAGGGGAGCGAACGGGAUUAGAUACCCCAGUAGUCC
RNAcentral lists this ribosomal RNA (292 nucleotides) under uncultured bacterium. RNAcentral's name for it is "partial 16S ribosomal RNA". It matches the Rfam family "Bacterial small subunit ribosomal RNA", at positions 505 to 796 of the family's 1533-position model. The record is from RNAcentral.